CCUACGGGAGGCUGCAGUGAGGAAUAUUGGUCAAUGGGCGGGAGCCUGAACCAGCCAAGCCGCGUGAAGGAAGAAGGCGCCAGGCGUCGUAAACUUCUUUUGUCGGGGAACAAAGGGCACCACGCGUGGCGUUGUGAGUGUACCCGAAUAAAAAGCAUCGGCAAACUCCGUGCCAGCAGCCGCGGUAAUACAGAGGAUGCGGGCGUUAUCGGGAUUUGGUGGGUUUAAGGGGUGCGUAGGCGGUCCGGAAAGUCAGCGGUAAAAGCCCGGGGCUCAACCUCGGCGAGCCGUUGAAACUGUCGGACUAGAGACCGCGAGAAGUAAGCGGAAUGCGCGGUGUAGCGGUGAAAUGCAUAGAUAUCGCGCAGAA
This 370-nucleotide ribosomal RNA is filed under the name uncultured bacterium. Its description in RNAcentral is "partial 16S ribosomal RNA". It matches the Rfam family "Bacterial small subunit ribosomal RNA", at positions 338 to 706 of the family's 1533-position model. The record is from RNAcentral.